RNAcentral lists this ribosomal RNA (392 nucleotides) under uncultured bacterium. Its description in RNAcentral is "bacterial SSU rRNA". It matches the Rfam family "Bacterial small subunit ribosomal RNA", at positions 30 to 423 of the family's 1533-position model. The record is from RNAcentral.
AUUGAACGCUGGCGGCAUGCCUUACACAUGCAAGUCGAACGGCAGCACGGGAGCAAUCCUGGUGGCGAGUGGCGAACGGGUGAGUAAUAUAUCGGAACGUGCCCAGUCGUGGGGAUAACGUAGCGAAAGCUACGCUAAUACCGCAUACGAUCUAUGGAUGAAAGCGGGGGAUCGCAAGACCUCGCGCGAUUGGAGCGGCCGAUAUCAGAUUAGGUAGUUGGUGAGGUAAAGGCUCACCAAGCCGACGAUCUGUAGCUGGUCUGAGAGGACGACCAGCCACACUGGGACUGAGACACGGCCCAGACUCCUACGGGAGGCAGCAGUGGGGAAUUUUGGACAAUGGGCGCAAGCCUGAUCCAGCAAUGCCGCGUGCAGGAUGAAGGCCUUCGGGC